ACCCGUCUUUUCGUCUUGUUUUCUUCUUGUUCGAGCAAUAAAGCUUGAAAUGGAAUAGAAAACAUAUUAGUGAGUGUCCUUGAAGAUAAAGAAGAUGUCUGAUGUGACAACGGAGCUGGAAGAUCCGAAAUCAAACUCUCAACGCUGGCGGUUACCUGAUAAUCGAACGGCAUCUGGUGCCGUUCGAUUAUAUUUAUGAUCAUGGAGUUGUUGGUGCCUAGUCAAAGAGGCAAGGUGUCUGGUUAAGGCAUGAUGUUGAUGAAGAACAUCAAAAUCAAUUAGAUAUGAUAUGUCAUGGAUCAAAGAAUGUUUUUAUAUGAAAUAUGAGUGACGCUAGCGAAGUGGAAACUAAACUUAUAUAGUUUCUAUUUUAAUAUUUGUGUAGGUAGUAGCAUGUAGUGGUAUUUCUAUUUCAUGAGAUUUCUAUUUCAUAUGUUCAAGAAGUUCAUGUAGUUAGCUGCACCAUACAUAUUACGAAUAAUUUAGAGACCCAAAUUACCAUGUUAUUAGCUCAAUUUUACUGAUCCAUUUUAUUGAUCUACUUUAAUUCGAAUAAUAUACUUUUUCACGGUUUUUGUUUUUGCUAUACUGUGUAUUGUUGAUGUUUUCUUACUGCUUUUGUAAAUUUAUUAUUUUUUAAGUAAUAAAUGGUCAGGAAAUCGUAAAGUAAAUAAUUUUAUAAUAACUAUUAAUACUAAAAUAAUUCAGAAUUUCUGACUCGUUCAAUCAUUCAGAAUUUCUGAGUCGUUCGAUCAUUCAGAAUUUCUGAGUCGUUCGAUCAUUCAGAAUUCCUGAGUCGUUCGAUCAUUCAGAAUUUCUGAGUCGUUCGAUCAUUCAGAAUUUCUGAGUCGUUCGAUCAUUCAGAAUUUCUGAGUCGUUCGAUCAUUCAGAAUUUCUGAGUUGUCAAUUUUGUAUGUGGGUUUUGUAUAGUUUGCACUUAUCAAAAAAUAAACGUUUAGAAAUAUG
This is a long non-coding RNA of Exaiptasia diaphana, 966 nucleotides long. RefSeq lists it as uncharacterized. The record is from RefSeq and is a predicted model, not a curated record. Lineage: Eukaryota; Metazoa; Cnidaria; Anthozoa; Actiniaria; Aiptasiidae. The transcript is spliced from 2 exons.